This 29-nucleotide non-coding RNA is filed under the name Homo sapiens (human). Lineage: Eukaryota; Metazoa; Chordata; Mammalia; Primates; Hominidae. The record is from RNAcentral.
UCGGCCAGGCCAUUCAUUACAAUGUGUAA